UGGGGAAUAUUGGACAAUGGGGGCAACCCUGAUCCAGCAAUGCCGCGUGUGUGAAGAAGGUCUUCGGAUUGUAAAGCACUUUCGACGGGGACGAUGAUGACGGUACCCGUAGAAGAAGCCCCGGCUAACUUCGUGCCAGCAGCCGCGGUCAAUACGAAGGGGGCUAGCGUUGCUCGGAAUGACUGGGCGUAAAGGGCGUGUAGGCGGUUUACACAGUCAGAUGUGAAAUCCCCGGGCUUAACCUGGGAGCUGCAUUUGAUACGUGUAGACUAGAGUGUGAGAGAGGGUUGUGGAAUUCCCAGUGUAGAGGUGAAAUUCGUAGAUAUUGGGAAGAACACCGGUGGCGAAGGCGGCAACCUGGCUCAUGACUGACGCUGAGGCGCGAAAGCGUGGGGAGCAAACAGGAUUAGGAUACCCUGGUAGUCCACGCUGUAAACGAUGUGUGCUAGAUGUUGGGUAACUUUGUUAUUCAGUGUCGCAGUUAACGCGUUAAGCACA
This 498-nucleotide ribosomal RNA is filed under the name uncultured bacterium. RNAcentral's name for it is "partial 16S ribosomal RNA". It matches the Rfam family "Bacterial small subunit ribosomal RNA", at positions 355 to 868 of the family's 1533-position model. The record is from RNAcentral.